Molecule: transfer RNA, 72 nt
Filed under: Marmota monax (woodchuck)
Lineage: Eukaryota; Metazoa; Chordata; Mammalia; Rodentia; Sciuridae
Rfam family: tRNA
About the family: Transfer RNA (tRNA) molecules are approximately 80 nucleotides in length.
Source: Rfam by way of RNAcentral
GGGGAUGUAGUUUAGUGGUAGACUGCUUUCCUAGCAAGCAUGAAGCCCUGGGUUUAACCCCCAGUACCUUUA